Molecule: ribosomal RNA, 497 nt
Filed under: uncultured bacterium
Lineage: Bacteria
Description: partial 16S ribosomal RNA
Rfam family: Bacterial small subunit ribosomal RNA
Source: RNAcentral
GAUGAACGCUGGCGGCGUGCCUAAUACAUGCAAGUCGAGCGAACGGACGAGAAGCUUGCUUCUCUGAUGUUAGCGGCGGACGGGUGAGUAACACGUGGAUAACCUACCUAUAAGACUGGGAUAACUUCGGGAAACCGGAGCUAAUACCGGAUAAUAUUUUGAACCGCAUGGUUCAAAAGUGAAAGACGGUCUUGCUGUCACUUAUAGAUGGAUCCGCGCUGCAUUAGCUAGUUGGUAAGGUAACGGCUUACCAAGGCAACGAUGCAUAGCCGACCUGAGAGGGGGGUAGGCCGCCCUGGAAGUGAGACACCGACCCGACUCCUAAGGGAGGGCGCAGUCGGGAACGGUACGCAACAGGGGGAAACCUUGCGGAACAACCGCAAGUGAGGUGUAGCAGCGCUCCGAUCGGAAAAACCGGUUAUGGGGGGAAAACCUAUGUGGAAGGUAACGUGGACAUCUUGACGGUAACUAAUCAGAAAGCCACGGCUAACUACGUG